AACGUCUAAAUUAACUUUUUUUUGCUGAUGAACUGUAUAAAUGAGUGUCUAAUAGUGUUUUAAAUGUGUGCAUUCUUUAUUUUAGCAUUUUGGUGCAUUUUCUUUAAAAAUUAAAAAUUCUGUCUAAAAACCACAGUAAUGCGCCACCUUCAGCUGAAAACAUAGCAUUUGAGUCAUUUUGAAUAAAUUUUAGCCAAUGGCUAAAGAGUAAAGUACUACGUAAACCAGUAGAGUACUACGUAGCAGCUCCGUGCCAAAGUUAUAAAAGCAACGAGAGUCUCGGCCACGCCCUGUGGCGAGUGGGAGUUGGAUUUGCAAGCGAGCGUAGGAGGUCAGCGGUAGUUCAGCAUUAGCAUAUAGCAUUAGCAUAUCCUAGUCUUAGCAUAUCUUUUAGUGUUAUAAAUACUUAUUUAGUGUUAGCUUGGCUGUUGGAUAUUGUAGUUUAGUUAGUGUUUGGCUGUUAGUGUAAUUGGGAAAGUAUUUCGGGUUUAGUGUUCAUAUCGUCUUAGUAUUGGUGAGAUGGUGUAAUGUAGUAUGCUUGCGGUGACUCUGUGGGCAUUUUACCCGCGAUUCUGCACGUCUCCGUUUGAAGAGGGAGGCUGCCCACCGUGGCUCUUCCGCGAUUUAGAUGCAGCCCACCGACUCUGCUCCCCCACCACGGCGGGCUCCAGUCUGAGGCUAAAUCUACCCAAGACACUGGUUGUCAGACUGAUUUAGCUGCAAGAAUGCACUUGUCCAGGCUGAUGUGAAACCUUCCCUGUAGCAAAGCCAGCCAGAAUGGAGUUCACAGCCGCAGUGUGUCUGGUGACCCACAGGGACCAUGAUGAAAAUUCAUCUUCCAGAAAGUCCCAGAGCGUCCAGACCUCCUGAAAAGACCAAGAUGUAAGGUGUCUGCUGUUGAUUCCAGCUUCCACCUCAGUGACAGUGCAAGCUCAGUGAACUG
Molecule: non-coding RNA, 943 nt
Organism: Nothobranchius furzeri (turquoise killifish)
Lineage: Eukaryota; Metazoa; Chordata; Actinopteri; Cyprinodontiformes; Nothobranchiidae
Source: RefSeq, a predicted model, not a curated record